AACGAACGCUGGCGGCGUGCUUAACACAUGCAAAUCGAACGCGAAAGGGACUUCGGUCCUGAGUAAAGUGGCGCACGGGUGAGUAACGCGUAGAUAACCUGUCUUCGAGUCUGGAAUAAUACACCGAAAGGGGUACUAAUACCGGAUAUUCUUGCGUUUCAUAAGAGGCGUAAGCAAAGGUGGCCUCUGCAUAUGCUACUGCUUAAAGAGGGGUCUGCGUACCAUUAGCUAGUAGGUAGGGUAAUGGCCUACCUAGGCUACGAUGGUUAGCGGGUCUGAGAGGAUGAUCCGCCACACUGGCACUGGAACACGGGCCAGACUCCUACGGGAGGCAGCAGUGAGGAAUAUUGCGCAAUGGGGGCAACCCUGACGCAGCGACGCCGCGUGAGUGAGGAAGGCCUUCGGGUCGUAAAGCUCUGUCAAAGGGAAAGAAAUGUAUAAUGGCUAAUACCUGUUAUAUUUGACGGUACCCUUAAAGGAAGCACCGGCUAACUCCGUGCCAGCAGCCGCCGCAG
RNAcentral lists this ribosomal RNA (515 nucleotides) under uncultured bacterium. RNAcentral's name for it is "partial 16S ribosomal RNA". It matches the Rfam family "Bacterial small subunit ribosomal RNA", at positions 29 to 523 of the family's 1533-position model. The record is from RNAcentral.